UAGGGAAUAUUAGUAAUGGGCGAAAGCCUGAACUAGCAACGCCGCGUGUGCGAAGAAGGCCUUCGGGUUGUAAAGCACUUUUUGAGAGGAUGAGGAAGGACGGUACUCUCAGAAUAAGUCUCGGCUAACUACGUGCCAGCAGCCGCGGUAACACGUAGGAGGCGAACGUUAUCCGGAUUUACUGGGCGUAAAGCGCGUGUAGGUGGUUUGGUAAGUAGGGCGUGAAAGCUCCUGGCUCAACUGGGAGAGGCCGUUCUAAACUGCCGAACUAGAGGAUGGUAGAGGGAGGUGGAAUUCGGGGUGUAGCGGUGGAAUGCGCAGAUAUCCGGAGGAGCACCAGUGGCGAAAGCGGCCUCCUGGACCAUUCCUGACACUCAGACGCGAAAGCUAGGGUAGCAAACG
This 402-nucleotide ribosomal RNA is filed under the name uncultured bacterium. RNAcentral describes it as "bacterial SSU rRNA". It matches the Rfam family "Bacterial small subunit ribosomal RNA", at positions 355 to 774 of the family's 1533-position model. The record is from RNAcentral.